AGGGUAACAUUGUGCUUGCACAGAUGACGACCGGCGCACGGGUGCGUAACGCGUAUAGAACCUACCUUUUACAGAGGAAUAGCCUUUAGAAAUGAAGAUUAAUGCCUCAUGGUAUUGUAGACUGGCAUCAGUUUAUAAUUAAAGAUUUAUCGGUAAAAGAUGGCUAUGCGUCCUAUUAGUUAGUUGGUAAGGUAACGGCUUACCAAGACAGCGAUAGGUAGGGGUCCUGAGAGGGAGAUCCCCCACACUGGUACUGAGACACGGACCAGGCUCCUACGGGAGGCAGCAGUGAGGAAUAUUGGACAAUGGAGGAGACUCUGAUCCAGCCAUGCCGCGUGUAGGAAGAAUGCCCUAUGGGUUGUAAACUACUUUUAUACAGGAAGAAACACUGGUAUGUAUACCAGCUUGACGGUACUGUAAGAAUAAGGACCGGCUAACUCCGUGCCAGCAGCCGCGGUAAUACGGAGGGUCCGAGCGUUAUCCGGAAUCAUUGGGUUUAAAGGGUCCGCAGGCGGUCGAUUAAGUCAGAGGUGAAAUCCCAUAGCUCAACUAUGGAACUGCCUUUGAUACUGGUUGACUUGAGUCAUAUGGAAGUAGAUAGAAUGUGUAGUGUAGCGGUGAAAUGCAUAGAUAUUACACAGAAUACCGAUUGCGAAGGCAGUCUACUACGUAUGUACUGACGCUGAGGGACGAAAGCGUGGGGAGCGAACAGGAUUAGAUACCCUGGUAGUCCACGCCGUAAACGAUGGAUACUAGUUGUUGGGAUUUAUCUCAGUGACUAAGCGAAAGUGAUAAGUUCCCCACUGGGGAGUA
RNAcentral lists this ribosomal RNA (813 nucleotides) under uncultured Polaribacter sp. RNAcentral's name for it is "bacterial SSU rRNA". It matches the Rfam family "Bacterial small subunit ribosomal RNA", at positions 65 to 882 of the family's 1533-position model. The record is from RNAcentral. Lineage: Bacteria; Pseudomonadati; Bacteroidota; Flavobacteriia; Flavobacteriales; Flavobacteriaceae.